RNAcentral lists this ribosomal RNA (215 nucleotides) under uncultured bacterium. RNAcentral's name for it is "partial 16S ribosomal RNA". It matches the Rfam family "Bacterial small subunit ribosomal RNA", at positions 524 to 735 of the family's 1533-position model. The record is from RNAcentral.
UACGUAGGGUGCGAGCGUUAAUCGGAAUUACUGGGCGGUAAAGCGUGCGCAGGCGGUUCGUCGUGUCCGAUGUGAAAGCCCCGGGCUCAACCUGGGAAUGGCAUUGGAAACUGGCGGACUCGAGUGUGGCAGAGGGGGGUGGAAGUUCCGCGUGGUAGCAGUGAAAUGCGUAGAGAUGCGGAGGAACACCGAUGGCGAAGGCAGCUCGUUGGGGA